CUCCCCGUGCCUGAGCCCCGGUGCCGCACGGCCGGGCAGGCUGCGGGCCCCGGCCGCAUCCGUGCUGCCUGCGGCGGCGGGAACAGAGGACAGAACCACCCAGCAGCAAGUCACAUUCAGAACAUCUCCCCCUCCUCCCCCCUUCCAGAGGUUUCUGUAUGGCUUUAUCCCAGACCUACCCGCUGACCUGACCCCACCAGAAAAGGGAUUUUACCGUGUCUGCAAGCCGGAGCCAUCAGCGGUCAAUACAAUGAGCAUUUCCCACGCGCACAAUUAGUGCAGACAGAGCCUUGGGGGCUGCUCAGCAGUUACCAGCAGGAAGUUCCCCAGCCUGGCCAAUACCCGCCGGUCUCUUGCCCAGGAGGACAUCACCUACAGCAUUACUGUUGGCUCUUCCCACGUUUCAUGAGAAGCGAAGGCAAGCCAGCAGAACACU
Falco peregrinus (peregrine falcon) is the source of this 436-nucleotide long non-coding RNA. RefSeq lists it as uncharacterized. NCBI's taxonomy places the organism in Eukaryota, Metazoa, Chordata, Aves, Falconiformes, Falconidae. The record is from RefSeq and is a predicted model, not a curated record. The transcript is spliced from 2 exons.